GUCUCUGGAAGACCAGGUCAUAAAUGUUUUACAGCAGAACGAGGACCUGAGAGUUCGGAUUGACAACCACAAAGCCUUGUACAGCAGCUCUCCAAGGAGCACCAGGACCUCCAAGGGACGUUAGACAGGCAGACAGGUCUCUGUCAGAGGCUCACACAGGAGAAAGAGCAACUCAUGUUUAAACUGAAGCACAGAGACUCCUGUUCUACCUUCCCAUCCUUCCCCAUAGUGUCUGAGAUCUCCCCCAGCUGAUCCACCCAGACCGAACAGGACAAUCGGUUACUUCUGUCUUAAUCCUGUGUAGGGUUGCAAGCAUGGAUCCGUUAACUUUCCCAAAUUUCUAAAAUGUUUUUUUUUCAGUAAUCCCUGAUUUGGAGGAUUCCAAGAAUUAGGACGUAGCAAUAUGCAAGGAGGGAUUUCUCAAACCUGGAAUUCUUCAAGUCAAAUUUCUGAAAGAUCUGGGGAUUUUKGGAACGUUUCAGGACUUUUGCAACCCUACUGUAAUCCUACUUUGACAACCAAAGUCCAGGUACCUUUACAAAGGGCUAUAGUCACAUGUUUGAUGGAACCUGAUGCCAAAAAAUUUAGAUUAUUUUUUUCUUCCAGUGUUAUACCUGCUGUGCCUUACAGUACAUAAUGUUUCUGUAGCAGUAUGGUAUUCAUACCACAGGACAGUUUUUUUUGGGGGGGGGGGGCAUUGGGCACAGCCAUGCACUGUUGGACUUAACUGACACCCUGCUGUUCAGCUGAUAUUAUAGAGUAGAUCUACAGUAGAUCAGAGUUUCUCUCCUCCAUAAGGAAUAGCCUGGUCCUUGACAGUACCAACGGAUCAGCAACUAGGCUAGGAAAUCACAUGGAACGAUUUCACCCUCGUAGGGGCAAGCAAAGUGUUCACUUUGAUGGUUUGAAUUGCAGUUGGAGAGGCAGAUGUUCAAUCAUGUAGUACGUAGCUAGUAGCUACAUCUUUUUUUUAAUCUACCUUCUUCCUGAGACACUAUUACGAUGUCUGUCAAAGUUUUACGUCACUGAAUAUGGAGUAAAUGUUGCAGUAUAUACAAUUUAAACAGUUACUUUAGACAACUGCUUUUGUAUUAGGGAUAUGUUAUACUUUUUUGUUUCAUACAAUAUGGGAAAUGGAUUGCCAUGGUUAUUUUUAUUUUUGCAGAUGAGGACAAUGGGUAUUUUUGUGACUUUUUUUUAAGUUACAAAGAACCAAAAGCACUUCUCAGUGUUUUUAAUUUGCAUUUCUUCUGAAGCACUAGCACUUUUAAUCAGUAUUUUACUAGUACUAAAUAUGAGAGAGGUUGCUGUAAAAAAUAUUUUUGUUUACUCUUGUUUACUCCUGGGUUUUACAUUGUUUGUUUACAUUGACAUUUUAAUAAUUUAGCCAACGCUCUUAUCCACAAAGGCCGCGGAGAGAUCUAAGAGGAGAGAGAGAGAGCUUGAGUUUCAAUAAACAUCUGUAUCUGAACCACUGUA
Salvelinus sp. IW2-2015 is the source of this 1479-nucleotide long non-coding RNA. RefSeq lists it as uncharacterized. The record is from RefSeq and is a predicted model, not a curated record. NCBI's taxonomy places the organism in Eukaryota, Metazoa, Chordata, Actinopteri, Salmoniformes, Salmonidae. The transcript is spliced from 2 exons.